CGGGACACGUGGUAUCCUGUCUGAAUAUGGGGGGACCAUCCUCCAAGGCUAAAUACUCCUGACUGACCGAUAGUGAACCAGUACCGUGAGGGAAAGGCGAAAAGAACCCCGGCGAGGGGAGUGAAAAAGAACCUGAAACCGUGUACGUACAAGCAGUGGGAGCACGCUUAGGCGUGUGACUGCGUACCUUUUGUAUAAUGGGUCAGCGACUUAUAUUCUGUAGCAAGGUUAACCGAAUAGGGGAGCCGAAGGGAAACCGAGUCUUAACUGGGCGUUAAGUUGCAGGGUAUAGACCCGAAACCCGGUGAUCUAGCCAUGGGCAGGUUGAAGGUUGGGUAACACUAACUGGAGGACCGAACCGACUAAUGUUGAAAAAUUAGCGGAUGACUUGUGGCUGGGGGUGAAAGGCCAAUCAAACCGGGAGAUAGCUGGUUCUCCCCGAAAGCUAUUUAGGUAGCGCCUCGUGAAUUCAUCUCCGGGGGUAGAGCACU
This 491-nucleotide ribosomal RNA is filed under the name Escherichia coli. Its description in RNAcentral is "partial 23S ribosomal RNA". It matches the Rfam family "Bacterial large subunit ribosomal RNA", at positions 418 to 911 of the family's 2925-position model. The record is from RNAcentral. Lineage: Bacteria; Pseudomonadati; Pseudomonadota; Gammaproteobacteria; Enterobacterales; Enterobacteriaceae.